AAUGGACGAAAGUCUGAUGGAGCAAUGCCGCGUGAGUGAAGAAGGUUUUCGGAUCGUAAAACUCUGUUGUGAGGGAAGAACAAGUACGAGAGUAACUGCUCGUACCUUGACGGUACCUCAUUAGAAAGCCACGGCUAACUACGUGCCAGCAGCCGCGGUAAUACGUAGGUGGCAAGCGUUGUCCGGAAUUAUUGGGCGUA
This 200-nucleotide ribosomal RNA is filed under the name uncultured bacterium. Its description in RNAcentral is "partial 16S ribosomal RNA". It matches the Rfam family "Bacterial small subunit ribosomal RNA", at positions 370 to 562 of the family's 1533-position model. The record is from RNAcentral.